Long non-coding RNA from Parus major (Great Tit), 7456 nucleotides. RefSeq lists it as uncharacterized. NCBI's taxonomy places the organism in Eukaryota, Metazoa, Chordata, Aves, Passeriformes, Paridae. The transcript is spliced from 4 exons. The record is from RefSeq and is a predicted model, not a curated record.
CAUUACAGCCCUGGGGCUGUGCCACAGGGGUCUGUGUUUCCCAGGGUCCCUCUGACUGUGACUCUAAAUUGGCAGCUGGGCUUAAUUCCACACAGUCCUACAAAGCCAUGUGAGGCAAAUAUUUCAUUCUCCUGGGAUUCAUGGGUAUUCUUUUAAAGGAAAUGUUUAAAAUGAAUCGUAGAAUCAUUUUGGUUGGAGAAGUCCUCCAAGAUCAUUGAGUGCAACCCUUGACUUCCUCAGUUUUUUCUCAGCUUAAACUGAUGACUCCUGUGGUGUGUGACACACCAUGCAGGCUGAAGGCCAACUGAAGGCACGUCCAGAAAGCUGCUGGAAGCAGGGCCAGGCGGGCACGGUGGUCUGAGCAGAGCUGGGUGCGCUGUGCAGGCUGGGAAGCAGCGUGAUUAAUGUAGGAGACACUCACAUGGCAGUCAAGCCAGAGGGAUGCUGCCAAGCUGGGAGGAGAAAGUAAAUCACUUUGGAAGGCACGAUAACUUUUGGGGAACAACUGUAUUUCACAAGGAGCACCACUGACCCUGGAGAUGUCACGUCUUGCCUUCAAAACGGGCAAAUCCCAGAGAAGGAUCUGGCUACCUGUAUGCAGAGCAUCGGGGCAAGACAUGGACAUUCACUGGUCCUUGCUGUAACAUCUCCCCAGAUUUACAGAGCAAAAGUGGAAGGACAUUCUUUUCCCCAGGGCUGUUGAACCAAAAUAAUCUGAUUUAACAAUAACUUGGAGUGGCCUGUCUUGAUAAGAGAUUUGAGACACUGCUCAAAAGUGAGCCUGAGAAGGUUGGGAAAGAAAGAAAUAAUGAAGAAGAUGGUUUGGAUCUGAGCAGAAGAUGACCUAGUCCUGCGUGAUCUACACAUCUGACCAUAUGAUGGCAGACAGGUAGGUCCCAAACCAUGCUGCCCUUGCUGGGCUUGGCACAGGUGGGGGAAUGGAGACAUUUGCUGGGGCAAGUCCUUGAGAAAAUAGCCUUGUUUCUGGAGAAGAAGGAUCACUUAUGGGAUUUCCAUGACUGGUAUAUGAGAAGCUCCCAGUGCUGCACCAAUAAACCCAUGCUCUCAAAGCUUGUGUCCUUCCACUCUGGGCUCCAGAGAGCAGCCUCACAUCUCCACACUAUGAAGAGGACUGUUCUAAUUUGUCCCUCAAACAGUCUCCAUUUUGCCUGGGUUUUUUAAGCCUUUUAAUUGUUUUGUCCUGCUCUGAUUCCUAUUAUGGCACAGUAAAAUUGUGUGCUGUGCAGACCAUGCUUUAUUUAAUUUGUUAUGCAGUUCAGAGAAGUAUAAGAAACUCUUCAAUAACAGAUCCUCAGCAGAUUCUGAAAACCCUCCAUAAACUCUUGACACAGCCAGGCACUAUUUAUUCACAACAUAACACAAAGCAGGACCCUGUCUCCCUGUGGCACAUUGUCAAAAUACGCUCUUCACGCUUUCUGCAGCUGAGAAAAGCCUUGAUGUGUUCUGGUAAUUGCUCUUGCAUCUGUCAGGCAAUGCUAAAUCAGCUCUUCCCUCCUCCUCAUUACUCCUUUGGGUUUACAGAAAGCAGAGAAAAUGCAGCACGCGUCAACAGAGACAGACAGGUUUGGGUGUGUUCAGUUGGUUGGAGGUCAAUGAUCACCCUUCAGUGUCUCACAUAAGCAAAAAUCCCCUUCUUCCCAAAGCAAAGACACAGACUUUGAUCUCAGGAUGUCUCCUGGGACCCAUCCUGCAGAUGUACCUGCAGUUCAGCAGUCACAGCAUUGCUGCCCAGUUAUGCAUUAUAUAUGUUAAUGCCCAGACAGAGUUAACUUAGGCUUUAUAUUAGGUAAUAACCCUUUUGGGAGAACAUACAUUAACUCAAUCAACAGCCUGCACUUCUGCUCAAUUUUCCAGAUCUUGCCACUGCCUGAAAAGAAGCUCUUCCAGCCCUGAAGCAGAGCUAAUAAAGCACUUUCCUCUUCUACAACAUCUUUACAUCCACAUCAGCAUGACAGUGUUUGUGCAGGGCAGCUGUAGCCUAAGUGAAGUUCUCUGUUUUAUCCACUCACUGUCUGGAGCAGGACUCACAGCAAGUUGCCAUUCUGCUCCUCCCAAGGAAGUACCUUGUGCCUCUGGCUCAUCUGGAACACAGCUCAGGCAUCAGCAGUGCUCUUUUGAAGGCUGCCAAGAGGAAGGGACAGGAGGUUUCCUUCAAUCACAGCCUUGAUAGACUCUUCCUUUUCACUAUUCCAAUCACUGUAGAUCUGGUUCACCUCAAGCAAAGCUGCUGUGAAGAUUAGAGUGAUGGUUUUCGCACCAGUGCUUUCCAGCCACUGACAGCAGGCUGAAUCAGUAAAGACACUGGUUCAGCCUUGCAAAGUUGGUAUGCCAGAUCAGCUGUGUUCUUCAUGUCUGAGCAUGGGCAUGAAUGAACAGAGGCUUGCCACGACUUAGCUGCAAGAUACUAACCUAUGACAUUUAAAUGUACAUAGGAAAGGAUGAAGGUGAAAGUAAGGGAUUGCUUGGGAGAUCUGAUUGCAGCCCUUCUGUGAGGAGAUCAUUGAAAAGAAGGAGGCUCCUCUUGGGCUCCAUGGUGGGAAGAUGAAGAAACAAAUGGGCAUCAGUUGAAACACAAGAGAUUCUGAUCAGAUAUGAGGAAAAGCUUUUUACUGUGACAACAGUCAAGCAGUGGGGCAGCUUGCCCAGAGAGGUUGUGCAAACUCCAUCCUUGGGUAUUUUCAAGUCCCAGCUGGAUAAGAUCUUGAGAAAUUUGGUCUGAACCAACCCUGCUUUAAGAUUGGAGAAGAGGCCUCCUGAAAUCCAUUCUAAUCCAAAUUACCAUAUGUUUCCAAUGUGUGUCAUUUCUCUGCAGAGUAGCUUAUCUACAAAGUGGUAGACAACGUGCCUUGAAAGUUUGCUUAACUGAUAAAGAAUGGCACAAAACAGAAUGUGGUCUGUGGUGUGUACAUACUUCCUAUUCAACAUUUUUUUUAGGUCCCUGCUUCAUAUAUACCAAAGGUUACAGAGGAUGUACUAAGCAAACAGGGUGAUUGAAACCGCAAUGUUGAAAUUUAAACCAGCAGGCAAUAAGUGCCUAACACUUGACUCUGAAGAAAUCUACUAAUUUGCCUAAACCAAAUUCAGGAACAAAAGGAUGAACUGUACCAGUGAUUUCUAUUGCAUUUUAAAGAUAACUGCUACAGAAACUGCACAGGAAUUAGUGAUGUUCUAGAACAAUCAAGCCAAAAUUCUCUUAAAUACAAAAGAAAUCUUGCUAAACAAAUCUACAGACUGUUCCUUUUACUUGAUGUUUUAGAUUGACUCAUUUUUCUAUUUUGAUGUGGACAUUUCCAGGAAGGGCUGGGGCCAGGGAGAAAGAAUGAGAAGAAAGAAGCUAGAAAAUCUUUUAGCAGCUUAGGCUGCUAUGGUUAUAUUUGCUAUCUCUGGAAGUAGCAGACCACAGACAGUCUUUUGGCCAUGGUAUGCUCUCUGGCCAGCUAAGCCACAGAGGAGGAGCUGUGACAACCUCCCAGAGCUGUUUGUCUGUGGGCUGGAUGCUUCCCACUUCACAGAAUGUUCCACUCCGUGGGCUCCUCUCUUAGAUUUCUUAGAAAAACUCUUAGACCUGCAGUAUCAUAAAACAAUUAAAGGUUAUACUUUCUCUCUGUUACUAAUGCUUUGUGUGGCAUUAGGUAAUUGCUUAAUUGAGCAUUUCAAAAAGCAUUAAUAUAUUUUUCUCUGCAAAUGCAUUAUUAAUAUAUACAUUACAAUCUCUGCUGUUAAGGCUUUGUACAAUUAUUAAUAGACUUAAAACACUGAACUGCAUGAAAAUAUUUUCUGCUAGGAAAAAGGAACUCAAAAGGACACAAAUCAUACCUGGUCUACCAUCAUUAUAAAUUAAGUAUUUGUAUUGAUACUUCUACAUUCCAACAAUCCUAAGCCUGUUGGCACCAGUUAAAAUGGGAAAUAUGAAUAUUUCUAUUCUGUUUCACAUUAAUUCACAAAGCCAACUUAGACAGCUGAAGAAUAACAAACUGCUUUGCAUCCACCCCUUUAGACCACUGACUUCUCCACCAUACAACGUACUGCUUUUCUCCAGACCAGCACACUACCUAUAACAUCACUCCUUCCAUGCAGAUUGUAUUUAGGAUUGCACUGACAACUUGCAUUCUCCCAGAAAUAAGAAAGACACUACACCUACAAGUGAUAAUUUGUUUUUAAUGUUUCUGGGAAGAACCCAUUAAAGAUUUCAAUGAGAAUUUUUUUUCACAAAAUAGUAGGCAGUGCCAAAAAUCGGUGUGGGCUUAAAUAUAGUACUAAAAGCAGUGAAAGGAAAAACAAAAAGGCAGUGCAAAAGCCCUAUGAAAUUACUUUUUGACCAGAAAUAGUUUGGGGAGAUUAUAAAAGCUGGAUGAUCUGGAGCUGGGAGGUAAAAAUAAUCCUAAAUCUAUAUAAACUGAUAUUGGGUUGGCUGAAAGCUCCAUCCAGCCCAGCAGUUUCAGAGAGAGGUGGAUAAGAUUUGAGUAGGAAGACAGAAAGAACUGGGAAAACACGUUCUGUAGUUCCCCAAAAUGUCUUUCCAGCUCCAGCAACUUACAAGUCAAGAACUUGCUGAGUUAGAUCAAGAGUCUUUGAUGAUUUUCCAGCUGCUUUUUAAGCCCAUGCAAAGGUUUGUUACCCACUAUGUCCUGAAGCAAGGACUUGUGGCUUAACUAUAGACUAAAUGAAGCGCUAUCUCCUCUUGUUUGUUUUGAACCUUCCAAUUUCUUAUUUCAUUUGCUGUAACUCAGUUCCUGUGUCUGAUAAGUCAAUGAACAGUCUGGAUUCCUGGUUCUUAUUUGUUUCUCUGAAGAUUUUAUAUAGACUUUGAUACUAUCUCUCCUUCCCUGCAGACUAAAGAAACCCAGCUGAGUCAACCAUGAUCCCUUUUGAAGCCCUUCUAUUUCUGAUAGUUCUAUUGAUUUUUAUUUAAUCUAUUCCACUUCUACCACACUAUUUUUGAACUAGAACUGCACAGACAAUUAAAGAUGCAGGUGCAAACAGGGACUGAUACAAUGGCACUUUUUAUUUUCUAUUUGUCUCUUAAAUUUUAACAAUAGUCUUAACAUGCCUCAAUUUCCAUUUUGAUCACUGCUGAGCCUUGAGUUGAUGUUCUCACAGAACCACCUUUCACAACCUCAAGGCCUUUUUUCUCACUGGUAAAAACCAGCUAAAAGUUUGUCAGUAUAUAUGUGAAAUUCAGGAUUGUUUUUUUUUCUCAUAUGUCAGUAUUUCAUAUUUAUCAGAUUUAAUUUCAUCUGCCAUUUUGCCACUGACUCUAUUAGUAACAUAAAGUCAUUCACUUUUUCUCAGUUAGCCCUACCCUGAAUAGCUCAUUAUCAGCAGCACAUUUUGUAAAUCACUACUGAUCUCCAUUUCUACCAGUUAUUUGUCCAAGUUUCAUAUCCAUUAGCAGCCUUCUUUUUUGCUUCCUUUGCGGAGGAAUCCUACUGAUUGCAUUUGGAGACCAUCAUAGACAGUUAAAUGAAUCUUUGUGGUCUGUGAGCUUGUUGACUUCUUCAAAGAAAGCUUUCCUGAGACACCAAUUUGCUUUAAAAAAGCCAUAAUGACUUUCCCUAAUGUGUCAUCUUUUCUAUGUGGCCACUAAGUUUUUUAUGUUCUUCAGUAUAAUUUCUACUUAUUUGUCUAUCAAGGAGAUUGGGCUUCCAGGUCUACAGCUUCCACAAUCUUCUCCAAAAUCCUUUAAAAAAUCUGGUAUCACAUGAGCAACUCUCCAGACUCCUCUGAUGACGAAGCAAUUUUGAGUAAGAAGUCAGAGACAGAAGUUAGUACCUGAAUCACUUUGUCUCUGAGCUGCUUGACAACUAGUGGUUGAACACCAUCUGGUCUCAGCAGUUGGCUGCUGCUCACUUGUUAAUGUAUUCCUUCAUCUUUUAUACUUGCACUGUAAUCCAAGACAUGUUUUCCUAAUUAUUCCCCUUAAAGAAGUUUACCAUUAUUGGAGUUUACCCAUGCUCAUCUAUCCCAUUCACAAACACAAAAAUAAAUUCAGCUUUUCUUUUAUGGCUGUAUCUUCCCUAGAUGUUUCUUCUGUAUAUGAAAUAAUCUAUUUGUCUUAUAGAGCUGUCAAACUCCAGCAGGCUCCCUGAUUUGUUCUAGGAAAGACUUGCUAUUAUUGUAACUUUUGCAAGCUGACCCUGAAACUUCCUUCUGUAUCCUUCUCACAAUUUCGUGCUUAACCUGUCAGAGGUUACAAGUCCUUUAUUUUACCCCCUUUACACUUCUGAAAGGUGUGCCUUGUUUUAUACUGCUCCUCUGUUUUUGAAAAGGAAGUAGAAUGCUACUGAUUUUCUUUGUCGUGGUGCUACAAGGGUGUUGAAACCAAGGAUGCUACAGUUCCUGCUACGGCGUGGGUCUUUGUCAAUAACAUGACACUCUUUAAGACCAGGGAUUGCUUUUCCUCUUCUGGCUUCCCAAAGAGCAGCCACAGACACUUUCUAAAAUGUUAGCCCUACCCCCUCCUGUGACAUUUACCCAACUUAAUUUGAGUUAUUGAAGUCACUUAUGAUCGUGUUUUCUGCCUCUCAGGCUCUGAUCUCCCUGCCUUGUUAGCGGGACUGGUGAUGUACUCCCAGUACUUCAUUUUUCCUAUUUAUUUCUGGGACUUCAGUCCACCGAGACCUUAUUUAUUGAUAGAAUUAACUGCUAAUUGGAGAAUCCUCUAAGCUUUCUUUAAAAUGCAGCAUCACUCAUCCACUGUCAUGCUUCAUCCCGCCUCAAAAACACGACAUGUAUCAAAACUAAUUGUUCACUUUUCCUAUCAGCUUUCAAAACAUGAACAUAAGUGCAUAUUUGCUGCAUCUUUGCUGCAGCAGCUUGCAAAGCCUUGUUGUCUCCUGGCCAAAACCCAACAGCUGAAAUAACAGAGCAGGGAAUAUUUUGUUUCUGAUUUGUAUAUGUUUUCUCUUGAAUCAUACAAAAAGUGAUCAAGGAUCUGCCCUGAUUACAACCCAUCAAACUGCUGACAGAAUAGAGAAGCAAUAUCUCAUCCACUGCAGAAAAAAAGAGGUGCAGUUUAACAGGAACUGUGAAGAAACUACCAUUAUAAGGAUAGAAAACAUAUCUGUGUUUAUCAUGUAUAACAUUUGAAAGCAUCUAAACUAUCCUGCUUCAGGACAUGCUCUCAUUCAUCCCUUACAGUGAGGGAACAUUUAUACACCGGUCAGAAAAUAGUGGUUGUUUUCAGAUGUCCUUAUGUGGCAGCUCUUCUGCCUGAACCAUGUAAUUCCUUUUUAAUUCAGAGUGGCACCUCAGAGACAGUUUUAUCGCACCUUCUUUAAGGGCAAGCUUUUCCCCCUGUCUGUCCUGCCAUGGCCUCUGCAGUGUGUUAUGCACUGUACUACCAGCACUAAUAAUUAACAGCUGCUGUGCCUGAAAUUGCUGAUUGUUUUCCAUCAGUCAUCUAGGUUAGGGAACAGUUUAUAGAUGCCAUAGC